UCGACCUUGGCGGGAUCCACCGGUCGUUGAGGAAACCAUCGUGCCAGGAAAAAGCUACCGACCGCUGGCUCAAUCUGCUGGUAAUGGAGAUAAUAAUUAUUCUAGUUUAUAAAUAAAAUAUUUUAAAAUUAAUAAACUUAACCUUGCAUGCGAGGUACAGUUAGUUUGUGAAGAAAGUCAAUUGAGCCCCUCGGAUUAAUGUAAGAUUCUGAAAGAUCAGGCCUCCACGCGAGAGAUCACUUAUAUGCGACUUACGUGUGGGAAGUAACUUACGCACACUGGUUCACCCUAUUAAGUAUUUUGAUAUUUUUAUUUAAAGAUAAAUAUAUGUAUUUUAAGUGAUUCAA
This 347-nucleotide unclassified non-coding RNA is filed under the name Hevea brasiliensis (rubber tree). The record is from RNAcentral. Lineage: Eukaryota; Viridiplantae; Streptophyta; Magnoliopsida; Malpighiales; Euphorbiaceae.